Molecule: long non-coding RNA, 731 nt
Organism: Harmonia axyridis
Lineage: Eukaryota; Metazoa; Arthropoda; Insecta; Coleoptera; Coccinellidae
Exons: 2
Source: RefSeq, a predicted model, not a curated record
UCAAAGAGGAGGAAAUUUUGGCACUCACCACCUCUUUUGGGCAUAUGAACCUCGAUGACUCGCCAAGGUCUUUACCGGCGAAGAGAGGUUUGAUUGAUGACGGUGCUGAUGAAACUGCUGGCUGAACCUCCGUCCGUACAAAAAGCCCACAAUAAUACCGUACUCGAAGGGUGAGGGCAAUUUUGGUUGCCCUCAACUUCACAGGGAAGGUGAGCAAGAAAAUAUAUUGCUCGGAGACCUGCGCAAAUUCAGACCCGGAGGUAUGCUUGUGGUUAACCAUAACAGCACCACCCUCAAGUGGAAUCCCCUGGGUUGCACUGUAAGUUUUCAAAAGUUCUUUCUAGGUAUCUGGAAGCAUUCAUUUCUGAAACCUAAUGAAUAUAAGAUAUCUUUUUUUAUGAGCAAAAACUCGGCGACUUUUUCAAGCCUCUUUCAGGUUGUACGAAUUAUGUUGAAGAUAUACUUUAAUCGAUAGAGAUGAAAGUUGCAUAUUUUAAUUGGGGAAAUUGUUUAACUUGUUUCUGUAAAUAAUAUAUAGAGAGAAUUCAACUGCUGUUAUUAUACAUAUAUAUAAUAUUUUAUUAUAUUUUGAAACCCCUAGAGUUAGUUUACAUUUAUUCGUUAUUUAAUCAUUUACUCAAUUUUGUGCAAUGUGUAAUUAUAUAUUUCAAUGUUUAUGUCAAAAUUUUUUUUAUUAAAUACUUACAUACAAAUAAAAUUUGUAAUUUUCA